RNAcentral lists this ribosomal RNA (240 nucleotides) under uncultured Candidatus Saccharibacteria bacterium. Its description in RNAcentral is "partial 16S ribosomal RNA". It matches the Rfam family "Bacterial small subunit ribosomal RNA", at positions 584 to 818 of the family's 1533-position model. The record is from RNAcentral. Lineage: Bacteria; Candidatus Saccharimonadota.
UAAGUAGAUAGUGAAAGCGUUCGGCUCAACCGAAUAUCCAUUAUCUAAACUGCUAAGCUAGAGAAUGAGAGAGGUAGAUGGAAUUUCCAGUGUAGGGGUGACAUCCGUAGAUAUUGGAAGGAACACCGAUGGCGUAGGCAGUCUACUGGCUCAUUUCUGACACUAAGGCACGAAAGCGUGGGGGAGCGAACGGGAUUAGAUACCCCCGGGUAGUCCACGCCGUAAAACGAUGGGAUGCUA